Molecule: long non-coding RNA, 3814 nt
Filed under: Sorghum bicolor (sorghum)
Lineage: Eukaryota; Viridiplantae; Streptophyta; Magnoliopsida; Poales; Poaceae
Description: long non-coding RNA (SBIC_LNC001919)
Source: RNAcentral
CAGAAACUAUGAGGAGACUUUUGCAAAAAUAAAUAGGCUGGUGGACCAUAAAUCCUAAAGUUGAUUUAUUUUUAGAUGAAUUUUUUGAGUUAGGAAUCUACUCCAUUUAAGAGAGAGUAACGCUUCCCUUCUUUUUUUAGGACGCUUCCCCAUUUCAGUGGAACUUUGGAUAAUUACUUCGCGCGUGUAUGAAUACAUGCAGUCGGCAACGGUGUGCUUUAUUUCAAUGAAAGUUGACAUUUACUACACGCAUCUUGGUAUUUGUAGUAUCUUUUCAAAUGUCUUAGGUUAAUUUCAAUGAAAGUUAAAGAACGAAAAUUUUAAAUAUAUUAAAAAAUAUUUUAUAUUCAAAAUAUAUUAUUGUGAGAAUAUAUUAUUUAUGUUCAAAAUAAUAUAUUUUUUAUUUUAUGAAAUCAUGAAAACGUUAAAACAAUAUGUGACAUUGCUUCAAAUCUAAAAUAGACAAACUGAACUGUGUAUUUAAUCAUUUUUUGUUAGGGGUAAAAUAGUCAUUUUGUUUUCACUUAACAUCAUUAAGUGCCUAAGCUAACGAAAAUUUAGCUUUUAGGCCUCAUAGGUAAGUUCAAAGAAAAACAGCAUAGCAUGAUGCAUUGAAAUGUACGUUCGGUUAACUAGUAGUACGUCAUCUUUGAUGAGUUGAGGAAAAAAUUGUUCAGUACAUGAAAAAUUCUAGUUUUGGCUACUAUAACACUUUUGGUUAUAUUUGGUAAUUAUUGUCCAAUCAUAGAAGCUCAAAAAAUUCGUCUCAUAAAUUACAAGUAAACUAUAUAUUUAGUUAUUUUUUUAUCUAUAUUAAUGCAUUAGUUAUUUUUUAAUGUAUAUUUAAUGCUUUAUGCAUGCAUCCAAAGAUUCAAUAUGACGGGGAACCUUUAAAUUUUCUGGAAACUGAACAAGUCCUUAUAAUGGGCAGUGCAAGAAGAAAUAACCAAGCCUCUAGAUAAUGUGCUCAAGUUAAAUUACUCGAUGUUGAUGGAUCCUUUCGGCUAAAUGAGAAGGCCAGGAGCUGGGGCUUCCAACGUGAUAGUGAUGGACCAUUUGGGCCGGUUUGAUGUAAGCACUAUUGGUCCAUGGGCUGGACUGCAGGUUACUAGCUAGUUGGGCUUUGUACUAAGAAAUUGAUGAACAAUGUUCACGAGCCCAGGCCCAGGUUUGCAGAAUCUUCCUUUUUGCUUUCUCCCAUUCCACGGCCCAUGGCGACUGUAGUCAGGCAGUCAUAUAGGUCAGUUUCCUCCUACAAUAAUACUAUACUUACACAUAUACUAUUUGAGACUUAUAUAUAUAGAAAAAAUGGAGAAAAAACUAGACAUGAAUGAGGAAAUUUGUACAAGUAAAAAAUGCACGUACUGGAUAGGUACCACAUUUUUUUUCAUUUCUGGAUCGGAGCAUAUAUAUAUGUAUGUACAACAUUUCAGUGCAGGCCACUAUUUAUACUUUGGUAGCAGGGCUCAAAGAGCUAACAGUUCAAUGAUAACCAACACAUGUAUGAAUUGGAGAGAUGAAAGUAAGUUGUACAUGAAUACGUAGUACAAUAAGUUGGAAGGUGAAAUAUAUGUAUAUGAUCAUUAUAUAUCAAAUUCAAAUAAUGUUGUAUAUACAUAUACCACAAAUCAAUAUAUCAAAUUCGAAUAAUGCCUCACAUUAUGUUGGAGCAGGUUGAAAUUCAUAUCAAACUGACCAUACAUACAACGCCUCACAUGACUUGAUCGACGACUAUUCUAACUUGUUCUCACUGAAUGCGUAUUUUUAUAUUAUGCCAACCAAGUCUAGCCAACCACGACGUACGACUGUAGGCAGUCAUAUAUAGAAAAAAAGGGAGAAAAACCUAGACAUUAAAACGCACUGGAUAGGUACCAUAUUUUUCAUUUCUGGAUCGGAGCAUGUAUAUAUGUACAACAUUUCACUGCAGGCCACUAUUUACACUAGGUAGCGCGCAGGGCUCAAAGAGCACUCCGAUGAUAACCAACGUAUGGGAGAGAUGAAUGUAAGUUGUACAUGGGUUGUACUAUAAGUUGAAGGUCAAAUAUGUAUAUGAUCAAUAUAUGUAUCAAAUUCAAAUAAUGUUGAUAUAACACAAAUAUCUAUACAUUGACAAAAAAACAUAAUCAUAUCGACAUGACAAGGUUUUUUAAUUCACAAAAAAAUAUAUGUCAAAAAUAUUGAACUAGUUAUAGAGGCAAGUAGGCAACAGGCAUGGAUUAGGAUUAUAAAUAUUAUGACUUAUAUAUGAGAAGCUAAAAUAGUAGCUUCUACCAUUUUGGCAUUUUGGGGGUACCUACGACACAGAAAGCCAAAUUAACAGGGGAUACAAUGUAUACUCAAAGUUUGUAAUCAUAUAUUCCGAUUGAAUAAAGAAUACAAUUAAUUCAAUGACGAGAUCACGAGAAUUAAAUACAAAAAUGGAGUGGUUAGUUUGAGUUUGAAUCUUUAGGGAUGUAAACAAAUAAUUAAAACAUAAGAUGAUCGACUAAUGUGAACAAUGAGAAAUAGUAGAUGAUCGAAUUUAUCAAAUGAGAGAUAUAUGAGGGCCCAUAGAAGGCCUCAAUGCAAAUGACCUGACUGGUAUGCUUAUUAUUCUCACUGAAUGACUGGAUGCACAUUUUUAUGUACUAGUGUGGACUGUAGACAAACAUAAGACUGCAGGCAGUCAUAUACAGAUCAGCUUCCUUACAGAGAGUAAAUUGUACAUGAGUAGUAAUAAACAUCGAAGGUCAAAUAUGCAUAUAUAUGAUCAAUACAUAAUAAUUAAAUUCAAAUAAUUGUGUUUAUACAUUUAUAUAUAAUCAUAUCAACAUAAUAACAUCCUCAAUGACAAUGUUUUUUAAUUAACAAAAACUAAGAUUUAUAUGUUAAAAACAUUAAACUAUAGGCAGGCAUGCAUCAGACAUUGCUAUGAGAAGCUCAGAUAGGUCCUAGUAUAUAUACCAUUUUGGGGGCACAGGACAUCUGCAGCCGACUGAAAUGAAAGCCUAACUGACAGGGAUCCAAAUAUACACUCAACUUUGUAAUUAAUCUGAUUGAAUGGACUACAAUCAUCAAUAGUUCUGUAUGUGAUGAAUGAAAUAUAACGAAAUGGAGUGGUUAGUUUGAGUUUGGAUAUUAAUCUUAGGGCUGUCAAAAAUUGAAACAUGUGGUCGCAUCUAGCUAGCCGUGCGCGCGAGUGCACGAAACGGCCGGCGAUGAUACUGCACUAAUUAAUGUGAGCAAUGAGAAAUGCUAGACAUAUCGAUCAAAUAUAUGUGUGUGUGUGUGUGUGUGUGUGUGAGAGAGAGAGAGAGAGAGAGAGAGAGAGAGAGAGAGAGAGAGAGAGAGAGCGAGAGAGAGAGAUGUAUGAGGGCCAUGCUUGGCACCUCGCACGCCAGCCGCAGCGGCCACCGAGAUCGAUCGAUGAUCUUGGGGUGGUAGCCGUGCGAGUGGCAUACAGGGAGCCAGGCAUAUUCCCUAGCUUUCACCUCUUCCUCCACCUCCAUGUCCUGUGCCGCGCGCCAUUGCUUGCUUGCUUAUACACCUUCCAAUAAUGUGCCAUGGCAUACAAGCGCCCUCAUAUUCUUUGUUUCCUCUAGCUCCCCUUGCAAGCUCAUAUGGCGCACACACGCAUAUCUGAACUAGAACUACACACGGCGAGGGAGAGAUCGAAUAAUGGAAAAUGGAGACUAGCUAGCUCGCUUAGAGGAAGACGAUGAAGCUUGUUGAGGCUGUUGAGUGAUGGUGUUGUUUGGCAAGAAGUUGCAUAUAUAUAUAUAGCUCCCGGCCCCAGGGUGGAGGUGAGGUCCCCCAACAUGCAUGCAUACCCUGC